Molecule: ribosomal RNA, 254 nt
Filed under: Clostridioides difficile
Lineage: Bacteria; Bacillati; Bacillota; Clostridia; Peptostreptococcales; Peptostreptococcaceae
Description: partial 16S ribosomal RNA
Rfam family: Bacterial small subunit ribosomal RNA
Source: RNAcentral
UACGGGAUAACAUAUUGAGAGGCAUCUCUUAAAUAUCAAAGGUGAGCCAGUACAGGAUGGACCCGCGUCUGAUUAGCUAGUUGGUAAGGUAACGGCUUACCAAGGCGACGAUCAGUAGCCGACCUGGGAGGGUGAUCGGCCACAUUGGAACUGAGACACGGUCCAAACUCCUACGGGAGGCAGCAGUGGGGAAUAUUGCACAAUGGGCGAAAGCCUGAUGCAGCAACGCCGCGUGAGUGAUGAAGGCCUUCGGG